This 428-nucleotide long non-coding RNA is filed under the name Homo sapiens (human). RNAcentral's name for it is "long non-coding RNA NONHSAT230949". The record is from RNAcentral. Lineage: Eukaryota; Metazoa; Chordata; Mammalia; Primates; Hominidae.
AGAUAAGGAGGCCAAAGCACCAGCAGGAGCGACCGUCACUGGAGGUCAGGCAUAGUUCACAGGGCCUGGAACUGGGGAUUGGACCUGGAUCCUUGAGCUGAUUCUUGCGCCUCAACCUCUCUUCCCAGAUGCCCACCGCCCCCAACCGCGCACCCCUGCAGAUGGGACGCUGCCCUCGAGGCUCUCCCUCCGCUUGCUUCCCCCAAUGGUGGGGUCCACCCCAGACCCGGGAGCCCCUCCCUCAGUCCCUGCUCCUCGUGGCCCUUCUUGUAAUCCUUUCCCCAGACUCCUCCCACCUCCCCGCCUCUGGCACAAAUCCCGCAAGUAUAUGUUCCUCUCUCCUCAUCUCUCUCACUAAGAAAGUCAAUCCCACAAGACAUCCCCCAAAGGAAAGAAUGAAAUAAAACAGUCCCCCAUGUCUAGCCCGA